GCCCUUCAGAGGGGGACAACAGUUGGAAACGACUGCUAAUACCGCAUACGAUCUAAUCUCGGCAUCGAGAAUGGAUGAAAGGUGGCCUCUAUUUAUAAGCUAUCACUGAAGGAGGGGAUUGCGUCUGAUUAGCUAGUUGGAGGGGUAACGGCCCACCAAGGCGAUGAUCAGUAGCCGGUCUGAGAGGAUGAACGGCCACAUUGGGACUGAGACACGGCCCAG
RNAcentral lists this ribosomal RNA (222 nucleotides) under uncultured bacterium. Its description in RNAcentral is "partial 16S ribosomal RNA". It matches the Rfam family "Bacterial small subunit ribosomal RNA", at positions 128 to 334 of the family's 1533-position model. The record is from RNAcentral.